RNA transcript from Zea mays, 1374 nucleotides. It is a transcript of the gene named ATP-dependent DNA helicase pseudogene, with no coding region annotated. The transcript has 3 exons. NCBI's taxonomy places the organism in Eukaryota, Viridiplantae, Streptophyta, Magnoliopsida, Poales, Poaceae. The record is from RefSeq and is marked validated.
CCGCUCUCCCAUGGAAGGAAACUCUCCACCGCGUCCAUGGAAGCCGCCCGGAUCUGCGUGCGCACCAUCUCUCUCGCCCCCGACCCGUCUCUCUCGCUGCCCAGCCACGUUCGCUCUCCACCGCGCAGAUCCUCGCUUCGCAAUCAACGCUCCCUUGACUUACCAGUUACCACACCAACCCAACCCCGACUCUCCAUGGAAGGCGCGACGACCGAGACCCAGCUCUCCAUGGAAGGCGUCAACAUGCCCUCGUCCCCGCUCGCCCACGCAUGCGCGCGCCCACGUGGCUGGGCAGCUCCCGCACCCUAGCCUGUGCCUUCGCCACGCCCUCGCCCACGCCAACCCCUGCCUCUCUCCCGCCGCGUCCGCGUUCCGGAUCUGUCGCCUCCCGCCGCGCCCUGCCUCCCUCUCCCAACCUUGCCAGCAGGACCACCGUCGGCGAUGCCUCCCUCCUGUCGCACCUUACCUCCUCAUCCCGACCUCUCCACCACGCCCAUGUCCCCAUUGUCGCUCGUGCUGGGCCCGUGCCAGACUCAUCCACGCCGCUGAUGUAGAGCGUGCGCUAGGCGAGGGGGUGAGUGCGUGACCGAGAUAGAGGCUGCGACAACCUCCCCGGCCACCUUGCCAUCUCCAUCGUCCUCGGGGCCAAUGCUGGUAGAGGCACUUUGGUUCCUGGAUGACCUACAAGGAAUGGGAGAUGGUGGGUAAGCGUGGGGUGUAGAUCCUUCCAGGCUCAGAUCGAUUUCUUCGUUCGCUGGAGCAUUCCUUAAUGCAUUUGGAUCAAUUGUUCUCAAUGCGCCUGUUGGAAUCAAGAGUUAUUACCUCAGCUUAUUCUUAGAGUUGUCACAUAUUGCCAUGCCCUUCAUAAGAGUUGAGUGUCCUACUUCCGGGUGCCCAUGAUUGGAAGGUCUCUUGGGUUGAUUUUCUCAGGGACUACACAAUCACUAGGCUGGAAAUUAGCUUAUACUUGCAUGAGCUCACCUUGUCAUUUGUGGAAGCAUUCACUGUCUCCUGAUAAGGGUGAGCUUCACAUCUUUAGAACAGACACGUUGAAGGAAAUGAGUAUCCGAGUACCAAGAACGAAAGAAGAGCUUUUGGAUAUAAAUGGCCUCUACAAGUAAUGCAGCUACUCUGCCUUUUUUGAAUGAAUUAUGUAUGCUGCCAUCCUUUUGUUUUCAAAAAGGGCUUGGUCCCGGUUUGUUCCUUUCUUUGUUUUUUCUCGAACGUUUCUUGUCGCGGUCUCAUGGUGGUUGCUAUAACUCAAUCUCCAGUUCACAGUAGGGUUGAACAAAGUAUAAGGGGCAGGUUGACUCUUCUCACUUGAAACGAAAAUUGCAGGGGCUAUGUUGUGUAAUGGUAAUAUAGUGUCACAUC